UACAGAGGGUGCGAGCGUUAAUCGGAAUUACUGGGCGUAAAGCGCACGUAGGUGGCGACGUAAGUCGGGUGUGAAAGCCCCGGGCUCAACCUGGGAAUUGCAUUCGAGACUGCAUUGCUGGAGUACGGAAGAGGAGGGCGGAAUUCCCGGUGUAGCGGUGAAAUGCGUAGAUAUCGGGAGGAACAUCAGUGGCGAAGGUUGCCCUCUGGACCAGUACUGACACUCAAGUGCGAAAGCGUGGGGAGUAAACAGG
RNAcentral lists this ribosomal RNA (253 nucleotides) under uncultured bacterium. RNAcentral describes it as "partial 16S ribosomal RNA". It matches the Rfam family "Bacterial small subunit ribosomal RNA", at positions 524 to 776 of the family's 1533-position model. The record is from RNAcentral.